Molecule: long non-coding RNA, 457 nt
Organism: Salvia miltiorrhiza (redroot sage)
Lineage: Eukaryota; Viridiplantae; Streptophyta; Magnoliopsida; Lamiales; Lamiaceae
Exons: 2
Source: RefSeq, a predicted model, not a curated record
UAAUUUUAAACUUAAUUAGAAAAUGAUUUCAAAUUGGAAAAUAUAGUAUAGAUUACUCCCAUUUAGUUAAUUUUAAAUAUAAAAGCAUACGAUUAAGUAUUAACUGAUUUCCCCACCCCCCAACAAAGGGCGUAAGGGCGCCACCAUGCUCCGCCGUUAAACUGAAGGCCUAUGGAUUUUGCUCGGAGCCGACUUGGAUUGCUUUAAUUUCCACAAGGUGAAUAUAGCUAAGCAAUUAACAUCUGGUUGAUGAUAAUGAUGAAAAAAGAAUGUUUUCGUUGGCACAAAAAUGCUGGAUUCUUCCUUACCAAAGAGUGAAUUCAUGAUGUUCGACAAAAUGCUUAGCCGAAAUGUAUUUCAGUAUACAUCACACUACGAAUAGUACCUUGUAAAGAGAGAGCGCUUUAAAAUAGCUUACUUGGAUCUCAUUGGGAAAAUCGAAAGUCUGAUUUUCUGC